GACGAACGCUGGCGGCAUGCUUAACACAUGCAAGUCGAACGGAAAGGCCCUGCUUUUGUGGGGUGCUCGAGUGGCGAACGGGUGAGUAACACGUGAGUAACCUGCCCUUGACUUUGGGAUAACUUCAGGAAACUGGGGCUAAUACCGGAUGGGAGCUCCUGCUGCAUGGUGGGGGUUGGAAAGUUUAGGCGGGUGGGGAUGGGCUCGCGGCGUAUCAGCUUGUUGGGGGGGUAGUGGCUUACCAAGGCUUUGCGGGGUAGCCGGGCUGAGAGGGUGACCGGCCACACUGGGCUUGGAAUAAGGCCCAGACCAGUACGGGAGGCAGGAGUGGAGUAGAGUGUCCAAUGGGAGGAAGCCUGAUGCAGCAUCGCCGCGUGCGGGAUGACGUCAUUGGGGUUGUAUUCUGCUUCCGCCUGUGCCGAAGAGUGAGUGACGGUAACGGGUAAAGAAGCACCGGCUAACUACGUG
RNAcentral lists this ribosomal RNA (468 nucleotides) under uncultured bacterium. RNAcentral's name for it is "partial 16S ribosomal RNA". It matches the Rfam family "Bacterial small subunit ribosomal RNA", at positions 28 to 507 of the family's 1533-position model. The record is from RNAcentral.